GGGGUUGUGGCUAAGUGGUAGAGCACUCACCUAGCAUGUGUGAGGCACUGGGUUCAAUCCUCAGCACCACA
RNAcentral lists this transfer RNA (71 nucleotides) under Marmota monax (woodchuck). RNAcentral's name for it is "tRNA.Ala". It matches the Rfam family "tRNA". Rfam says of the family: Transfer RNA (tRNA) molecules are approximately 80 nucleotides in length. Their secondary structure includes four short double-helical elements and three loops (D, anti-codon, and T loops). Lineage: Eukaryota; Metazoa; Chordata; Mammalia; Rodentia; Sciuridae. The record is from RNAcentral.